RNAcentral lists this long non-coding RNA (412 nucleotides) under Malus domestica (apple). RNAcentral describes it as "long non-coding RNA (MDOM_LNC013047)". The record is from RNAcentral. Lineage: Eukaryota; Viridiplantae; Streptophyta; Magnoliopsida; Rosales; Rosaceae.
UAUGAUAUAUUAAUUUUGGAAAUGAAAAGAAUACUUCUUCGUUAAAGUUAUGACCUUAAACAUUCUAUAACGAUAGAAUGUAUAUGGGAGAUAUAGUCUAUAUACAUGGGAUGGAAAUCUAUAAUGAUAUAUUUCAAGAUAUAAUUGGAUUAUAUCAAUCCCUAAUAAUAGACAAAAGAUGCUAGGAAGUUUCUCAUAUGAUGAUAAACUUCAAUUAGAAGGACGACUCUAGUGAGACUAGCAAGUUGCCUUUCUCAAAGGGAACGUACCCUUUGACUCCCAAAGAAAUAAUGCGUAAAUAGAAUCCUUUAUGCAUACGCAGAGAGGUGAUUUAUGUAUUUCAUAUUGUAUGAAAAACAUUGAUAUGAGUUGUACAUAGAAAGGUACAAGACGAUAUCAGUGCAAGCCCAGG